RNAcentral lists this ribosomal RNA (498 nucleotides) under uncultured bacterium. Its description in RNAcentral is "bacterial SSU rRNA". It matches the Rfam family "Bacterial small subunit ribosomal RNA", at positions 28 to 526 of the family's 1533-position model. The record is from RNAcentral.
GAUGAACGCUGGCGGCGUGCCUAACACAUGCAAGUCGAGCGAACAGAUUUAAGGAAGCCCUUCGGGGUGGAAUUAAUGAAGUUAGCGGCGGACGGGUGAGUAACGCGUGGGCAACCUGCCCUGUGCAGGGGGAUAACAUACCGAAAGGUAUGCUAAUACCCCAUAAGACUACAGUAUCACAUGAUAAAGUAGUCAAAGAUUUAUCGGCACAGGAUGGGCCCGCGUCUGAUUAGCUAGUUGGUGGGGUAACGGCCUACCAAGGCGACGAUCAGUAGCCGACCUGAGAGGGUGAUCGGCCACACUGGAACUGAGACACGGUCCAGACUCCUACGGGAGGCAGCAGUGGGGAAUAUUGCACAAUGGGGGAAACCCUGAUGCAGCAACGCCGCGUGAGCGAAGAAGGCUUUCGAGUCGUAAAGCUCUGUCCUAAGGGAAGAAUAAUGACGGUACCUUAGGAGGAAGCCCCGGCUAACUACGUGCCAGCAGCCGCAGUAAAAC